RNAcentral lists this ribosomal RNA (502 nucleotides) under uncultured bacterium. Its description in RNAcentral is "bacterial SSU rRNA". It matches the Rfam family "Bacterial small subunit ribosomal RNA", at positions 24 to 518 of the family's 1533-position model. The record is from RNAcentral.
UCAGGAUGAACGCUGGCGGCGUGCCUAAUACAUGCAAGUCGUACGAGGGAAGUCCAGCUUGCUGGACGGAACGAGUGGCGAACGGGUGAGUAAUACGUAAGCAACCUGCCUGCAAGGACUGGGAUAACACCUGGAAACGGGCGCUAAUACCGGAUAGGUAACAAAGGGGCAUCCCUAUGUUAUUAAAGGUUAGAAACACAAGCAGAUGGGCUUACGGUGCAUUAGCUAGUUGGUGAGGUAACGGCCCACCAAGGCGAUGAUGCAUAGCCGGCCUGAGAGGGUGAACGGCCACAUUGGGACUGAGACACGGCCCAGACUCCUACGGGAGGCAGCAGUAGGGAAUUUUCGGCAAUGGACGAAAGUCUGACCGAGCAACGCCCGCGUGAGUGAAGAAGGUUUUCGGAUUGUAAAGCUCUGUUGUAAGGGAAGAACAGCACGGAAAGAAUCCGUGAAUGACGGUACCUUACCAGAAAGCCACGGCUAACUACGUGCCAGCCGCGGC